Molecule: long non-coding RNA, 230 nt
Filed under: Struthio camelus australis
Lineage: Eukaryota; Metazoa; Chordata; Aves; Struthioniformes; Struthionidae
Description: lncRNA (ENSSCUG00000000794.1)
Source: RNAcentral
GCGGAUUUCAUCUGAACAUUUUAUGAACUGAAGACAUACUUAUUGGCAUGUACUUGAUCAUCCAUCAGCUUUUUGCAGGUGCUUUGGAAGGACUACUGUUGUGAUCUCUGGAGCAUUUGAUUCUGGCUCUUAGAGGAACAGGAGCUCUCAUCUAUGAAGUACCUCUGAUCUUCAGCUAGUUUUAUGCAUAGAAGGUGAUGCACAGAGGGAUUACGGUUGUUAAAAUAUUU